This 305-nucleotide ribosomal RNA is filed under the name uncultured bacterium. Its description in RNAcentral is "bacterial SSU rRNA". It matches the Rfam family "Bacterial small subunit ribosomal RNA", at positions 334 to 655 of the family's 1533-position model. The record is from RNAcentral.
UAUGCCUACGGGGCGCAGCAGUGGGGGAUAUUGCACAAUGGGGGGAACCCUGAUGCAGCGACGCCGCGUGGGUGAAGGAGUAUUUCGGUAUGUAAAGCCCUAUCGGCAGGGAAGAAGAAAGACGGUACCUGACUAAGAAGCCCCGGCUAACUACGUGCCAGCAGCCGCGGUAAUACGUAGGGGGCGAGCGUUAUCCGGAUUCACUGGGUGUAAAGGGAGCGUAGAUGGCCAAGCAAGCCAGGGGUGAAAGCCCGGGGCCCAACCCCGGGACUGCCCUUGGAACUGCAUGGCUGGAGUGCGGGAGG